UUAAAUUGAAGAGUUUGAUCAUGGCUCAGAUUGAACGCUGGCGGCAGGCCUAACACAUGCAAGUCGAGCGGAAACGAGUUGUCUGAACCUUCGGGGGACGAUAACGGCGUCGAGCGGCGGACGGGUG
This 127-nucleotide ribosomal RNA is filed under the name Vibrio parahaemolyticus. RNAcentral describes it as "partial 16S ribosomal RNA". It matches the Rfam family "Bacterial small subunit ribosomal RNA", at positions 1 to 108 of the family's 1533-position model. The record is from RNAcentral. Lineage: Bacteria; Pseudomonadati; Pseudomonadota; Gammaproteobacteria; Vibrionales; Vibrionaceae.